RNAcentral lists this transfer RNA (90 nucleotides) under uncultured archaeon. RNAcentral describes it as "tRNA-Ser(gct)". It matches the Rfam family "tRNA". From Rfam's summary of the family: Transfer RNA (tRNA) molecules are approximately 80 nucleotides in length. The record is from RNAcentral.
GGAGGGUUGACAGAACCCGGCAUUGUGUCCGCUUGCUAAGCGGCAGCCAACCGAAAGGUUGUGCAGGUUCAAAUCCUGCAUCCUCCGCCA